CAGCAGAUCCUAUUUCCCUCAGUGGCUCAGACCUGCGCAGACCUCGACUGACGACACGGACAACUUUGACUUUCAAAGACCAGCGCGCUUGGCCGUACGCGGGGCAGUCGGGGCCUGGAGGGACAGCUUGUGCGGCUCUGGCAUUUUGGCUCCUUGGGCUCAAAGCUGCCCAAUAAUCAGGUGAACCAAGAAGCUGGAUUGCUGACUGGGAAAAUCUGCGCUCCAACUUCCCUCUGUAAAGCAUUUCUGGGCUGCAGAUUGGAAAUGAACUGCUGUUCAUUGUGGCUACCUGGAGGAGAAUUCUUCUGUCCUCUGUGAUUACUUACAGGGGAAAGACUUCUAACCUGACAAACAGGAUUCCUUCUAAAAAAUAAGAUAAAAAUGGAAACACCAUCAUCAAUGCAAAACCCUCUCUGCACCCCAUAAUUGGAAAACACCCUGGAAUUUUCAAACUUCUAAGUGUGAACAAUCAGUCUGUAGAGCCAUAAGCACAGAACCCAACACAAAACCUACCUAACAACAC
Molecule: long non-coding RNA, 523 nt
Filed under: Ictidomys tridecemlineatus (thirteen-lined ground squirrel)
Lineage: Eukaryota; Metazoa; Chordata; Mammalia; Rodentia; Sciuridae
Description: lncRNA (ENSSTOG00000029392.1)
Source: RNAcentral